RNAcentral lists this long non-coding RNA (1325 nucleotides) under Lactuca sativa (garden lettuce). RNAcentral describes it as "long non-coding RNA (LSAT_LNC006883)". Lineage: Eukaryota; Viridiplantae; Streptophyta; Magnoliopsida; Asterales; Asteraceae. The record is from RNAcentral.
ACAAUAAAAAUGUAUAUUAAAUCUAUUAAAAAUAUGUAUCCAUACCAAUCAAUAAAUUCAUACACAAAAUACAUAAUUAUUGAACCGAUAUAAUUUCUCAACGAUACAUACAUCAAUAGAUACCCAUCGGAUCAAAUGCGCAAAUCAAGACACAAAUUAUGCACAUAAUAUAUAGGCUCAAUCAAAAUCAUGUGAUAUCUAAUAUCAUAUGCAAUCGUACAAUUCAUAUUGCUUUCUAGUUUCAACCAAAGCUAAGACUACACAUAUCUAGUUGAAAUAAUAUUCUACAAGGCUGACAAAAACUUAUAGUCAAUCACACACCAAGAAUUAUCCAGAAACGUGUAUCUUUUUCCUGUCAAAUGAUUCAACAAAAAAGGAAAACCAAACCCGUUUUUUCAGUUCUUCCUCACAAUCAAAUUCACAACAGAUUGAAUCCUUGCUUCCACUCCCUGUCAAAAACACCAAAACCCAAACACACAGUUAGGAUCAUCCAUUGCAAUCAACACACACAAAAAAGGGCAAACAAAACACCCUUGAUAGACCCUUCUGCCUGCUUCAUCAUCAUUGAGUGGAUUUCCAAAUCACACACACACACACACAAAAAAAAAAAAAAUGAUUUCUUCUUUAUUUUACCUAUCAAAUAUCAAAACCAAAUACAAAUUCCUUCCAUUGAUUUCUAUCAAACAGUCAAAUAAAAAGAGAAAGGAAAAGAACCUGUUACCGAUCGGAGCAACACCCCUCACAACCGUUCCUCCCCUUCCGUCGAACAAACCCACCGAGGACCCCGACUCCUUCGCUGUUACCGCUGCUUGCGACGCCCGACUUCACACCUCGCAGCCGGACGAGAAGAGGGCAGCUUCGCUGCUCUUCCCUCCGUCACUGCGGCCUCGUCAAACCUCGAAGACAACUCUCUCGUCGCCGAUCACUCCCUCUCCUUCAAACCUAGCAGCCGACCGAGACCACAGCAUCCUCGCUGCUUUCCCCUUUCCCUCUCUCCGGCCCCGUCGAUCCCCGGAAACACUUCCUUCGCAAGAAAUCAACCCCAAAACCCCCGGAUUAGCCGCCUGUGAGCUUCCUCUUGCUUCGGUCUUCUUCGUGGUCUGCGAAAACCGAGGAACCGGAAGCAGCACCGACGAGCCUUCGCUUUACUCUCUCUUCGUUGGUCUGAUUGCAGACGUUCUUCCCUUGCACGUUCAACAAAGACGACGGCAUGCGAUUUAACCCUAAUCCAUUUUAAAAUCUUUUUAAAAUGCCUAAACUACACCCCACUAUUAAACCUUUAUUCAAAAUCAGUCCUAAUCCCCAAAUAAUAAUCCCAUUUAUUC